UCACCCAGCCUAAGAUGUCAUCCUCAAGAUUUCUUCAAGAUCUUUACUCUAUUCAAUCUAUCUUUUUCAACAUAGUGAGAUGGAAAGUGGGUAAUGGUAACUCAGGCAGUUUUUGGCAUGAUAAAUGGUCCUCAGAUAAUUCUCUUAGUAGCCUUUAUCCUCAUGCAUACAAACUUGCUCUCUCAAAAAACUGCAGUAUAAGCUCCCAAGGCAGAUGGACAAAUAAUUCAUGGAUCUGGCACCCGUUAAUUAGAAGGGGGAUCUCCCCUAAUGAAAGGGAAGACAUUCUUCAUCUUCUUUCUCACUUAGAGAAUAAAUCCCCAGGAGCUUCAUCGGAUCAUGAUGGCUUACAGUGGCCUCUCCUCUCUUCGGGAUUCCCCUAAAGGUAAAAGUCCACCUUUGGAUAAUCUCAAAAAAGAAGCUCAACACUAGAGACAAUUUGAUCAAAAAAGGCUGGUCAGGUGACCCUCUGUGUCUUGAGGAAAAUGAAACCCACGAUCACAUUUUCAUCCACUGUUCAUUUGCAAGAGAGGUUUGGAAGCUCCUUCUCCCUUUCUUUCCAGCUAACAGCUGGCCAUUAACCAUGGAAGAUCUGCUGUUGCUUCACAAAGUCCCUAAUAUUUGUUCAGACAUCAAAGCAAUAUGGAAGAUUCUAAUGCCUUGUUUUUGUUGGUGGAUCUGGUUUAGCAGAAAUUCUCUCAUUUUCAAGGAUAUUCAGCCCAUUCCGUUGCUCAUAGCCUCUAAUAUAGCGAGGUUUUCCAUUUUUUUGGACAGGUCCAGCAGAUGACAGGACGGCGAGGAGGCUGCGAAGGGCAUCCCUCAACCUCGGUCUGCAGGAGCUAGCUAAGAAGAACACCUCUUCAGGGGCUGGGGACAACAGUGCCAGCUAGUCUGCAGGAGCUAGCUAAGAAGAACACCUCUUCAGGGGCUGUAAAUGUCUCAAAGUUGAAGCUUUUUACCAGUGAAGAAAUUUCCUGUUAUUUUGGUUAGAAAUCAGAAAUACCAAGCUAUGUCUAGUAUUUUGUGAACUAAAGUAGUUGCUAUAUUCGGUUGUAAUGUAAGAAGUGUUUCUCUCUAGACAGAUGGGGGGGUUUGUAGGUUAAGUGUAGUAGGUGACGACAUUGGUCCGCUCCCUACUCACUUCUCCUACAGUGCCCCCAUCUACCUAGAGAAGUUGUAACCUCCUCGUUGAUACUUUUUUGCUUUAUAUUAAAUGAACAGGGUUAUACCCUGUUUUUCAGGUCA
Molecule: RNA transcript, 1245 nt
Organism: Asparagus officinalis (garden asparagus)
Lineage: Eukaryota; Viridiplantae; Streptophyta; Magnoliopsida; Asparagales; Asparagaceae
Exons: 2
Source: RefSeq, a predicted model, not a curated record